RNAcentral lists this long non-coding RNA (3480 nucleotides) under Homo sapiens (human). RNAcentral describes it as "non-protein coding lnc-MTHFD2L-4:5". The record is from RNAcentral. Lineage: Eukaryota; Metazoa; Chordata; Mammalia; Primates; Hominidae.
AUUCAUUUUCUGCCCCAAAUUCCUGGAGAGGCAGUGAGUCCACCUCGCUGAAGAUACAGCCUGUGAGGGGGGACCUUAGGUCCCCGAUGACCCCCCGCGUACGGGGUAGGGUUGGAGGAAAGAGCUGGGGGGACCCGUGAGAACCAGGACAGGAAAGGCACGACUUCUUUAGAGGAAGAGAGCUUUGUCUCCUUAGUUAUCAGAUUUGCUGGGGACCCGGAGACAGGCGAGUUUUCCCUCAGCUAUCCUCUCUCUAUAUAGUCUAUCCUCUAUGUUAACCUCCCGGUCUCUGCCUCUCUCAUUUUCGGUUUAGCGUUAUUUCAUGUACAUCUAACAUCAUGCUCUCUGUGAAAGUACAGCCAUCGUCUCGGAUUCCAGAGAAGAAUGUUCUACUUGUUCCUUGUUUUGCAUAUUCUCUAAUCACACUUAGAAUACCUUGUUUACGUUUUCCAUUUGGUGGCAACAGAUUAUCAGUGUCAAAAUUUGAAUUCAGUGUUAGUGUCCGUGGAAGCCAGGGCUGUAUAACAUGACCUCUUCUUUUGUAUCCUGCAUAACGUCCUUCCUCCCUCUGAAAUGUUGGAACUUCCUAAAUCCCCUGGAGACCUUCUCCCAGUGGGAGGGAUUCAGAUUUGAUCUAGAAAUAUGACACUGGCUGUCACUCUGAAGCUGUGGAGGGGCUGGGUCCAGCAGGAUCAUGGGCUCAAUGUUUCUGGUUCUGUCUUUGCGAAUGACACUAGAGAGUAGGUACCUGGUGUGCAAACACCAUUCCCACUGAAGGAGCAAACAGCUGCCUGCUGAUGACAUUUAAACACCAGAUCACACAUAAAAUCACAUUUCAUUUACUAUAGAAUUUUCUGGUAUUCAGCACUGGGGGAUCUUUCUCUGGAAACAUUAACAGGGCACUUUUUUUUCUCGUCUGGAUUUUCAGUCUUUUAACCUGACACCUUUGUCCCUUUUUCUAGUUUUAGAUAAUGUAUUUUGAUUUGUCAUUAGGUUUUAGAGGGUUUAAGUGUGAUUCUACAAGUUGGUCUCAGACCUCUUUGAGACGUGGAGUAGGAUGGAGGAGAGGAGAAAGGAAUGGCAUCUGCCUGAAGCACAGGGCUCUACACAACCCAGCUCAAGGGAUAAGAGUCCUUGCCCCUAACCAAACACAGAGCGUGCAACUGUGCUGCCUGUAUUUAGUUGCAGAGUAUCACUUGCAAGUUGUUAAGCCUCUCUGUGCCUAGCCCAAGGUGGUUAUGAGAAAUGAGUUAACAUUUGUAAGAGACAACAUGGAUUAAGUGCCUUAUUAAUGGUUGUUAAAUAAAUAAAAUGGACUAUUUCCAUUUUUAAAAGGCUAUUUCUUUCCCGACAUUGCCUGAACAAAAACUCAGCCUGCUAUGAAUUCUGUAAAGGAAAAAAGAAGAAUCUAAUGGAAAGUUUUACUCCCCAGUGUUUUUCACAUUUAAAAUUUUCUGUAUCCCUUACUGCCACCCAACUCUCCCUGUCUCUAACUGAUAUAAAGCAGUGUGAGUCCUUAAGAAAUCAAAGCACAUCCUAGAAAGAAGAAUGUUCAUAUAAACACCACAAUCCCAGUUUCCAAAAUGGUCUUGUAGUUACUGGUGCUCACGGGUAUCUGUGAUGUCAUUACAAUAAUCUUGGACAAGGGAUAGAAAGGUGUGCUAGAAUGUCCUGUUACUUUAAAAUAGACACUAUAGGUAAUAUAUAUGCUCCAUUCUUUUUCAAUAAUUUCCUCUCUCACAUCUCCCUGACUACUUAAAUUCCUUGAAAGAAAGGAUAGAUACAGAAAAAACAUUGACCCAAUGGAGGCCAAAAUAGUGUCCCAAAUGUCUUCUGCAGUUUCAAGCUGUAAUAAAUGCUGCAAACUUAUAAAUGAAAAAUAAAGUUCAAUUGGGAAUUUAUAAAAAACAAAAAAGUUAAAUGUUUUUAAUUUAGGAAGGCUUUCAGAAAGGAAGACACAUCUGUACUUUACCAGGAGAUGCACAUAGAUGGGAGGUCAUUAAAAAUUUGCUUGUUUUUCUUCAGCAAACAUAAGGUGCCCAAUUCUGAAGAAUAAAAUAGGCACUUUUCCAUGGAGAAAGCUGACAAACUACUUCUUUAAAAAAAUGGUGAAGAUAAACGUCUUCAGUGUGAUGUCAUAUGGAUAUCAUGUACCCACUUGAUAUGAUGUCAUAAGAAUGGCAUAAGCAGGAUGCCUCUUUGGUACCACUUCCAAAAAUUCAUCACCCAAAUCUAGUUAUGAUAAAAAACAUUCUUCAAACUCAUACUGAAGACUCCUAAAGCUAAUCAGUACUCUUCAAAACUGUCAAGGUCAUGAAAACAAUAAAAGACUGAAAAACCAUCACAGUCCAGAGGAAACUGGAGAAGUGACAACUCAUUGCAGUGUGGUAGUUUGGAUAGGAUCCUGGGACAGAAAGAUGAUAUUAAUGGAAAAGCUGGUGAAACACAACUUAGUCUGGAGUUUAGUUAAAAGUAACGUGUCAUUGGUGGUUUAUUAGCUUUAACAGACGUUCCGUGCUGUUGUAAAAUGUUCACUGUCAGGGAAAAAGGAUGAAGGGCACACAGACACUGUAUUAUCUUUGCAAUGUUUGUAAAUUGAAAAUUGUCCCAAUUAAGUUCAUUUUUUUCUAAGUUUAUUUUUCUAAAUCCAUUUAGAAUACCACCAAAAUGAAAUCAGGGCAUGUGCAUGUUUUACCUGCUAGCUUUCUAGACAGGAAAUUGAAUUUUGAUUUAGUACAUAUUUGCUCAAAUAUGAAAAUUCAAAAUAUCUGUUGCCGCAGUUUGGGCAGUUCAUCAUGCUUCAUAGUGUUAAAUACUUUGCCUUCAGCAUUAUGUUUUCCAGAUCUCUCAUUUAGUUCUUAUAACUGAAGAAAAUCAGAAAGUGUUUGCUAUCAUGCUCUCCAGACCCAACACAAGGAGAGUGCCAAGAGAAUAAUGCAAAUGAAACAUGUCAAGAGGCCGUGGACAUUUGCAGGUUAUGCAGAACUUGACUCCUGAGGAAAAUGUCAUCAGAAUCACUUGUUUUUGUAAAUGAAGUAUAAAGGAGAGGAUUCGUUGUUGUUGGUGGUGGUGGUGUUUUUCCCUAACAUGCCGCUUGUAUCAAUGAGAUCUUCAUAAGCCAAAGCUUAUAAUGCUGUUGACUACAAAAAUAAAUUGUCUUGUUAGAGCAAGUGUUUCUCCAAGCCUAUUUUCUUUUCAACAGUUGAAUGCCAGAAUUUUAUGCAGUCUUUAAACUUAUUCAAGCAAAAAUUCUUAAAGAAAUGGAAGAAUCUUUAAAAAUGGAAGCUUUGGUGGCCAAAUUCCAUUUGCCCUGUAAUCAUUAUGGAACCUUACAAAACUGGCAGACGGUCAAAUCUCGGUGCUCACAUCUCCUAGGCCACCUGUUCUCCAGUCACUGCUACAACACUAGCUGCCUGCAGAUGUCACCUGGAAACUCCUGGCCUCAGCUGAAUCAGUUUGUCCAUUGGUGGAGGAACCCAG